AAGAAUACUGGAGUGUGUUGCCAUUUUCUUCUCCAGGGGAUCUUCCUGAUGCAGAGAUUGAAUCCACAUCUCCUGCACUGCAGGUGGAUCCUUUACCACUGAACCAUGGAGGGAUCCAGAGAGACUCAAUGCUAGAAUAUUCUAGCAAAUCAGACGGCAUGAAAGAGGUUCAUCAAAAAAGUAUUUGGCUGGGGGACAAAUGGCUCUUUUCCACAAUUAAAGAGCUGAAAGCACAAUAUUGGUGGUGUCAGAUCAGUAAGGAGACAUGGAGAACAACGGAUCAACAUCUCCUCAUAAUAAUCCCCUGAACACCUGAAGACAGCUGUGAGCGCUUAAAGAUUUGCUGAGGCUAAUCUGAACACAGGUAAUUGAGUGGAUGAUAUGUUCAAAGGUGCAGAAACCUGUAUUUGGCACAUGUGUUGUGUAUUAGGGCACCUCACACUUCUCUUCACCCCUUAGAAACUGGAGUGGUGGGUCUUGUCUGCACACAGUUAGGGGAUGAGUCUCCUUUUUCUGAGCAGAAAGCUGAGGAGGAGGACAAUACAGGCAGGGCCCGAGAGACGCCAUGUGCGUGGCAGCCUGCUGGUUCACACGAAGAGCUAAACUCAGGAAGUGA
This 616-nucleotide long non-coding RNA is filed under the name Capra hircus (goat). RNAcentral's name for it is "lncRNA (ENSCHIG00010007622.1)". The record is from RNAcentral. Lineage: Eukaryota; Metazoa; Chordata; Mammalia; Artiodactyla; Bovidae.